RNAcentral lists this non-coding RNA (475 nucleotides) under Solanum lycopersicum (tomato). RNAcentral describes it as "Bacterial small subunit ribosomal RNA". It matches the Rfam family "Bacterial small subunit ribosomal RNA", at positions 581 to 1377 of the family's 1533-position model. Lineage: Eukaryota; Viridiplantae; Streptophyta; Magnoliopsida; Solanales; Solanaceae. The record is from Rfam by way of RNAcentral.
UGAAAUGAGAAUUUCAUUAUCCAAUAAACUUCAUGCUUAACAUUCUUUCCUAAUGGAUUUGAUAACUUAUUGGGAUUGGACAUUUAAUAUGAUUGAGAUUGAUAUAGUCAAUUGAGGUUGGAUUUAUUCACCAAUGGCGAAAGCACUCUGCUGGGCCGACACUGACACUGAAAGACGAAAGCUAGGGAAGCGAAUGGGAUUAGAUACCCUAUAGUACUAGUCGUAAACGAUGGAUACUAGGCGUUGUGUGUAUCAACCCGUGCAGUGUUGUAGCUAACGCGUUAAGUAUCCCGCCUGGGGACUACACUCGCAAGACCGAAGCUCAAAGAAAUUGACGGGGGCCUGCAUCUGAUUCCCACAUACAAGACUUUGAUCAAUCAUACAUGAUAGGAGAGAAAUCGUCUGAUUAAGAAAGAAGGGUUCCGCCUAUUGCUAAUACAAUACAGGGAUAACCCUGACAUGACUCAAUUCCCGU